GGAUAAAGUCAAGUAUUUUUUUUUUAUGGAAAAAAAAAUCAAUAAUUCUGGUUAUCCA
RNAcentral lists this transfer RNA (58 nucleotides) under Ulva gigantea. Its description in RNAcentral is "tRNA-His". The record is from RNAcentral. Lineage: Eukaryota; Viridiplantae; Chlorophyta; Ulvophyceae; Ulvales; Ulvaceae.